CCUACGGUGGGCAGCAGUCGAGAAUUAUUCACAAUGGGGGCAACCCUGAUGGUGCGACGCCGCGUGGGGGAAUGAAGGUCUUCGGAUUGUAAACCCCUGUCAUGUGGGAGCAAAUUAAAAAGAUAGUACCACAAGAGGAAGAGCCGGCUAACUCUGUGCCAGCAGCCGCGGUAAUACAGAGGUCGCAAGGGUUGUUAGGAAUCACUGGGAGUAAAGGGUGCGUAGGUGGGUUCGCAAGUCGUGUGUGAAAGGCGCGGGCUCAACCCGCGGACGGCAAAUGAGACUGCGGGACUAGAGUACUGGAGGGGGAACCGGAAUUCUCGGUGUAGCAGUGAAAUGCGUAGAUA
Molecule: ribosomal RNA, 347 nt
Filed under: uncultured bacterium
Lineage: Bacteria
Description: partial 16S ribosomal RNA
Rfam family: Bacterial small subunit ribosomal RNA
Source: RNAcentral